GAUGAAGAACGCAGCGAAAUGCGAUAAGUAAUGUGAAUUGCAGAAUUCAGUGAAUCAUCGAAUCUUUGAACGCACCUUGCACUCCUUGGUAUUCCGAGGAGUAUGCCUGUUUGAGUGUCUUGUAAUCAUCAAUCUAACAUUGCUUUUGUGAUGUACGAUUGGACUUGGAGACUGCUGGUCUAAUGACUGGCUUCUCUUGAAUGCAUUAGUAGAACUGGGUUACGGCGCUACGUGUAGUGUGAUAAUAUCUUCACUGCAUAGUUGUAACGAAGUUUUGCUUCUAACGGUCCUUUGUUGGACAAUACUUGACCAUUUGACCUCAAAUCAGGUAGGACUACCCGCUGAACUUAAGCAUAUCAAUAAGCGGAGGA
RNAcentral lists this unclassified non-coding RNA (371 nucleotides) under soil metagenome. Its description in RNAcentral is "partial contains 5.8S ribosomal RNA, internal transcribed spacer 2, and large subunit ribosomal RNA". The stretch from base 1 to 120 matches the Rfam family "5.8S ribosomal RNA", at positions 35 to 154 of the family's 154-position model. The record is from RNAcentral.